CCUACGGGAGGCAGCAGUGGGGGAUAUUGCACAAUGGGGGGAACCCUGAUGCAGCGACGCCGCGUGGGUGAAGAAGCGCCUCGGCGCGUAAAGCCCUGUCAGCAGGGAAGAAAAUGACGGUACCUGAAGAAGAAGCCCCGGCUAACUCCGUGCCAGCAGCCGCGGUAAUACGUAGGGGGCAAGCGUUAUCCGGGUUUACUGGGUGUAAGGGGGGCGCAGACGGCGAUGCAAGCAAGGAGUGAAAGCCCGGGGCCAAACCCCGGGACUGCUCUUGGAACGGCGUGGCUGGAGUGCAGGAGGGGCAGGCGGAAUUCCUGGUGGAGCGGUGAAAUGCGUAGAGAUCAGGAGGAACACCGGUGGCGAAGGCGGCCUGCUGGACGGCAACUGACGUUGAGGCCCGAAAGCGUGGGGAGCAAACAGGAUUAGAUACCCCAGUAGUC
Molecule: ribosomal RNA, 440 nt
Filed under: uncultured bacterium
Lineage: Bacteria
Description: partial 16S ribosomal RNA
Rfam family: Bacterial small subunit ribosomal RNA
Source: RNAcentral